Molecule: ribosomal RNA, 923 nt
Filed under: Bacillus amyloliquefaciens
Lineage: Bacteria; Bacillati; Bacillota; Bacilli; Caryophanales; Bacillaceae
Description: bacterial SSU rRNA
Rfam family: Bacterial small subunit ribosomal RNA
Source: RNAcentral
GGCCAAGGAACAACAGUUAUAGUUUAUUACAUAACUACAGGGACGAACGAUGGCAGUUGGCAUAGAUGCAUGCAAUGUCAAACUAUCAGAUGGAGCUUGUCCCUGAUGAUAGCGGCGGACGUGGGAGAAACAGGUGGGGUACCCGUCCGUAAGACUGGGUUACUCCGGGAAACCGAGGCGUAAUGCCAGAGUUGUUGUCUGAAAUGCAGGGUUCAGACAUAAACGGUGGCUUCGGGUACCACUUACAGAUGGAACGCGCGGCGCAUUAGCUAGUUGGUGAGGAAACGGCUCACCAAGAGCGACGAUGCGUAGCCGACCUGAGAGGGUGAUCGGCCACUACUGGGACUGAGACACGGCCCAGACUCGUACGGGAGGCAGCAGUAGGGAAUCUUCCGCAAUGGACGAAAGUCUGACGGAGCAACGCCGCGUGAGUGAUGAAGGUUUUCGGAUCGUAAAGCUCUGUUGUUAGGGAAGAACAAGUGCCGUUCAAAUAGGGCGGCACCUUGACGGUACCUAACCAGAAAGCCACGGCUAACUACGUGCCAGCAGCCGCGGUAAUACGUAGGUGGCAAGCGUUGUCCGGAAUUAUUGGGCGUAAAGGGCUCGCAGGCGGUUUCUUAAGUCUGAUGUGAAAGCCCCCGGCUCAACCGGGGAGGGUCAUUGGAAACUGGGGAACUUGAGUGCAGAAGAGGAGAGUGGAAUUCCACGUGUAGCGGUGAAAUGCGUAGAGAUGUGGAGGAACACCAGUGGCGAAGGCGACUCUCUGGUCUGUAACUGACGCUGAGGAGCGAAAGCGUGGGGAGCGAACAGGAUUAGAUACCCUGGUAGUCCACGCCGUAAACGAUGAGUGGUAAGUGUUAGGGGGUUUCCGCCCCUUAGUGCUGCAGCUAACGCAUUAAGCACACCGCCCUGGAGAGGAAAAU